Molecule: ribosomal RNA, 253 nt
Filed under: uncultured bacterium
Lineage: Bacteria
Description: partial 16S ribosomal RNA
Rfam family: Bacterial small subunit ribosomal RNA
Source: RNAcentral
UACGAAGGGAGCUAGCGUUGUUCGGAAUUACUGGGCGUAAAGGGUGCGCAGGUGGGUUUGCAAGUUCGAUGUGAAAGCCCCGGGCUUAACCCGGGAAUGGCAUUGGAUACUGCAGAUCUGGAGGAUCGGAGGGGGGACUGGAAUUCUUGGUGUAGCAGUGAAAUGCGUAGAUAUCAAGAGGAACACCAGUGGCGAAGGCGAGUCCCUGGACGAUACCUGACACUGAGGCACGAAAGCUAGGGGAGCAAACAGG